CAUGCAGAUGGUUUUCCUUUUGUUUUCGCUCAUGGGUGUUGCUUUCGGUCUUGAGGUCCGUCAGUCCCGCUCCGACAUCAUCGUGAAACCUGGAGAAAAAGUUCACAUCUUCUGCACCCACGAGAAAACGGACUACUGGAUAAUGCUCUGGUACCGGCGGCCGCCUGCAGACACGGCUCUGAAAUUAAUCGGACAUUUGUACAUGAGCGACAUCAAGAUGGAGGACGAAGACGACCGGAACGUCCAAAUCGAUGGAGACUUGAGCGGCAGCACAGCAAAGAAUUCCUCUCUGGUGAUCAACGUUGUGGAUCCGAAUCACUCGGCUGUUUACUACUGCGCAGCACGAGAAGCACACUGAGGAAGAAUCCUGCCUGUGCUUUACAAAAACCUGCUUUAUCACCAUCAUCAGUGGUUUGGCAGAAGAAUUUGGGGAAAAAAAACAAAACUGCUCUCAAGCACCUGCUUCUCUCUGUUUUGAAAAUUGAGCAUCUUCAUGCUAAAAAGUGACAUUGUUCUAUUAAAAAAAUUAAGUAAAAAAAAAAGAAUUCCUAAAACCAAAACUCGCCCAAAGAUAGUAGCUAAUAAAUUAGACCUAAGCUUUACAGAGAACUAGGUUAAUCAAAGUUUAUUUCUAAAGUUUAUUUCUCAAUCUACUAAAAAA
Molecule: non-coding RNA, 661 nt
Organism: Xiphophorus maculatus (southern platyfish)
Lineage: Eukaryota; Metazoa; Chordata; Actinopteri; Cyprinodontiformes; Poeciliidae
Source: the annotation of a RefSeq genome assembly